UGGCUCAGUGGUAGAGUACUUGCCUUGCAUGCAUGAGGCCCUGAGUUCAAUUCCUCAG
RNAcentral lists this transfer RNA (58 nucleotides) under Dipodomys ordii (Ord's kangaroo rat). It matches the Rfam family "tRNA", at positions 8 to 63 of the family's 71-position model. Rfam says of the family: Transfer RNA (tRNA) molecules are approximately 80 nucleotides in length. Their secondary structure includes four short double-helical elements and three loops (D, anti-codon, and T loops). Further hydrogen bonds mediate the characteristic L-shaped molecular structure. tRNAs have two regions of fundamental functional importance: the anti-codon, which is responsible for specific mRNA codon recognition, and the 3' end, to which the tRNAs corresponding amino acid is attached (by aminoacyl-tRNA synthetases). tRNAs cope with the degeneracy of the genetic code in two manners: having more than one tRNA (with a specific anti-codon) for a particular amino acid; and 'wobble' base-pairing, i.e. permitting non-standard base-pairing at the 3rd anti-codon position. The record is from Rfam by way of RNAcentral. Lineage: Eukaryota; Metazoa; Chordata; Mammalia; Rodentia; Heteromyidae.